This 426-nucleotide long non-coding RNA is filed under the name Phoenix dactylifera (date palm). RNAcentral's name for it is "long non-coding RNA (PDAC_LNC001935)". Lineage: Eukaryota; Viridiplantae; Streptophyta; Magnoliopsida; Arecales; Arecaceae. The record is from RNAcentral.
UUGAUGUUUUGAACCGAAGCCGCGGCCGCCUUGCCUAUUCUAUCUCUAUCACUUGCCAUCCUCACCCUCUCUCUCUCCUCUUGCUCCGCUUCUCCCCGGCCACCACCACGGGCCCCUCCUCACCGUCAACCUUCUCUAAUACGCCCGCUUCUUCGCCGACUUCCUCCUCGGCCUCUCCGCUCCUCCGGCAGCCAUGUCACCCACUCCGCCGCCGCCUGGUGGCUCACCCGCGCCUUCAGUUGCAGCGCGACCCCCGCCGCUCCCUCGGCCGCCAGCCUUUCGACGACCACAACGUCCUUGGCAAAAACCCUCUCCUCCUCCCACCUCUCUCCCUCCUAGCCUCUGAACCCGGCACCUCCCACGCCGACAUUAACGUCGUCCUCGCCUCCGCGGACGUGGCCGUCGACGGCUUCUGCUCGAACCGGU